RNAcentral lists this ribosomal RNA (301 nucleotides) under uncultured bacterium. RNAcentral describes it as "partial 16S ribosomal RNA". It matches the Rfam family "Bacterial small subunit ribosomal RNA", at positions 509 to 808 of the family's 1533-position model. The record is from RNAcentral.
CAGUAGCCGCGGGAAAACGUAGGUGGCGAGCGUUGUCCGGAUUUAUUGGGCGUAAAGGGAGUGUAGGCGGUCUUUUAAGUCUGAUGUGAAAGCCCACGGCUCAACCGUGGAGGGUCAUUGGAAACUGGGAGACUUGAGUGCAGAAGAGGAGAGCGGAAUUCCAUGUGUAGCGGUGAAAUGCGUAGAUAUAUGGAGGAACACCAGUGGCGAAGGCGGCUCUCUGGUCUGUAACUGACGCUGAGGCUCGAAAGCGUGGGGAGCAAACAGGAUUAGAUACCCGUGUAUCCCUGUCUCUUAUACC